GGGCCCAUAGCCUAGUCUGGAUAAGGCGACAGCCCUCUAAGCUGUAGAUCGGGGGUCCGAAUCCCCCUGGGCCCA
This 75-nucleotide transfer RNA is filed under the name Candidatus Woesearchaeota archaeon CG07_land_8_20_14_0_80_44_23. RNAcentral describes it as "tRNA-Arg". It matches the Rfam family "tRNA". From Rfam's summary of the family: Transfer RNA (tRNA) molecules are approximately 80 nucleotides in length. Lineage: Archaea; Nanobdellati; Candidatus Woesearchaeota. The record is from RNAcentral.